This 347-nucleotide unclassified non-coding RNA is filed under the name soil metagenome. RNAcentral's name for it is "partial contains 5.8S ribosomal RNA, internal transcribed spacer 2, and large subunit ribosomal RNA". The stretch from base 1 to 120 matches the Rfam family "5.8S ribosomal RNA", at positions 35 to 154 of the family's 154-position model. The record is from RNAcentral.
GAUGAAGAACGUAGCGAAAUGCGAUAACUAAUGUGAAUUGCAGAAUUCCGUGAAUCAUCGAGUCUUUGAGCGCACAUUGCGCCCCCUGGUAUUCCGGGGGGCAUGCCUGUCCGAGCGUCAUUGCUGCCCAUCAAGCACGGCUUGUGUGUUGGGUCCCGUCCCCCUCUCCCGGGGGACGGACCCGAAAGGCAGCGGCGGCACCGCGUCCGGUCCUCGAGCGUAUGGGGCUUUGUCACCCGCUCUUGUAGGCCCGGCCGGCGCUUGCCGACACCCAACCAUUUUUUUCAGGUUGACCUCGGAUCAGGUAGGGAUACCCGCUGAACUUAAGCAUAUCAAUAAGCGGAGGA